UGGACUCACAUUCUUCUUAGAAUUCUCUUG
Molecule: non-coding RNA, 30 nt
Filed under: Rattus norvegicus (Norway rat)
Lineage: Eukaryota; Metazoa; Chordata; Mammalia; Rodentia; Muridae
Source: RNAcentral